GACGAACGCUGGCGGCGUGCCUAAUACAUGCAAGUAGAACGCUGAAGGAGGAGCUUGCUCUUCUGGAUGAGUUGCGAACGGGUGAGUAACGCGUAGGUAACCUGCCUGGUAGCGGGGGAUAACUAUUGGAAACGAUAGCUAAUACCGCAUAACAGUAGAUGUUGCAUGACAUUUACUUAAAAGGUGCAAUUGCAUCACUACCAGAUGAACCUGCGUUGUAUUAGCUAGUUGGUGGGGUAACGGCUCACCAAGGCGACGAUACAUAGCCGACCUGAGAGGGUGAUCGGCCACACUGGGACUGAGACACGGCCCAGACUCCUACGGGAGGCAGCAGUAGGGAAUCUUCGGCAAUGGACGGAAGUCUGACCGAGCAACGCCGCGUGAGUGAAGAAGGUUUUCGGAUCGUAAAGCUCUGUUGUGAGAGAAGAACGAGUGUGAGAGUGGAAAGUUCACACUGUGACGGUAUCUUACCAGAAAGGGACGGCUAACUACGUG
Molecule: ribosomal RNA, 495 nt
Filed under: uncultured bacterium
Lineage: Bacteria
Description: partial 16S ribosomal RNA
Rfam family: Bacterial small subunit ribosomal RNA
Source: RNAcentral